UACGUAGGGGGCUAUCGUUGUCCGGAAUCAUUGGGCGUAAAGCGCGUGUAGGCGGUCCGGUAAGUCCGCUGUGAAAGUCGGGGGCUCAACCCUCGGAUGCCGGUGGAUACUGUCGGGCUUGAGUACGGAAGAGGCGAGUGGAAUUCCUGGUGUAGCGGUGAAAUGCGCAGAUAUCAGGAGGAACACCAAUUGCGAAGGCAGCUCGCUGGGACGUUACUGACGCUGAGACGCGAAAGCGUGGGGAGCAAACAGG
Molecule: ribosomal RNA, 253 nt
Filed under: uncultured bacterium
Lineage: Bacteria
Description: partial 16S ribosomal RNA
Rfam family: Bacterial small subunit ribosomal RNA
Source: RNAcentral